CCAUAUUGUUGUGAUAGCCAUCAUCAAACGGCAAUGAAUGCACGUGCGCUCAAUAAACACACAUGAGGUUUUAAUUCUUAUUGAUCUCUUCAGCAGACAUCAACCAUGAAGAAACCUGAUCUGAUAUAGAAACUUCAAUUCAUCAAUUUUUCUGUGUUAUGUCUAAAGAAAAUGAAAAAUAUGAUAUUUAUGAACAAAAUCACGAAUUUUGCUAUUUCUUGUUUUUAUGUUUUUAAAAAGCAUAAAAUGUGAUUCUAUAAGUUCAUAAUAUUUAGAGGAAAUUAGUGGUGUGUGUUUAUGUGUUAUAAAUUAUCACAUGAAUGGCUAACUAAAAUGAUUUAUAUGAAGUUUUAAAUCUGCGCAGCCUAUAACCAAGAUAAAUGGAGCAAAAAUCAUCAUUUGCUGAAGUUCUUUUUGGACAUUCUUCAGACGUGCUUUUGAGUCUUU
This is a long non-coding RNA of Uloborus diversus, 447 nucleotides long. RefSeq lists it as uncharacterized. The record is from RefSeq and is a predicted model, not a curated record. Lineage: Eukaryota; Metazoa; Arthropoda; Arachnida; Araneae; Uloboridae. The transcript is spliced from 3 exons.